RNAcentral lists this ribosomal RNA (459 nucleotides) under uncultured bacterium. Its description in RNAcentral is "partial 16S ribosomal RNA". It matches the Rfam family "Bacterial small subunit ribosomal RNA", at positions 338 to 795 of the family's 1533-position model. The record is from RNAcentral.
CCUACGGGUGGCUGCAGUGAGGAAUAUUGAUCAAUGGGCGGGAGCCUGAACCAGCCAAGUCGCGUGAGGGACGACGGUCCUAUGGAUUGUAAACCUCUUUUGGCGGGGAACAAAGGCGGCCACGGGUGGGCGGAUGAGUGUACCCGAAGAAAAAGCAUCGGCUAACUCCGUGCCAGCAGCCGCGGUAAUACGGAGGAUGCGAGCGCUAUCCGGAUUUCUUGGGUUUAAAGGGUGCGUAGGCGGACAGUCAAGUCAGCGGUAACACUGCGGUGCUCAACGCCGUACAGCCGUUGAAACUGGCAGUCUUGAGUGGGCGCGAAGUAUGCGGCAUGCGUGGUGUAGCGGUGAAAUGCAUCGAUAUCACGCAGAACUCCGAUUGCGAAGGCAGCAUACCGGCGCCCUACUGCCGCUGAGGCACGAAAGCGUGGGUAUCGAACAGGAUUAGAUACCCCAGUAGUC